AUUAUUUUUUUUAUUUUUCCAGUGAUGAAAAUAUACCUUCUUGUGUUCCUGCCAUGACACAGUGGGUUAAGGAUCCAAAUGCAGUGGCUUGGGUUGCUGUGGAGGAGUGGGUUUGAUCCCUGGCCCAGUGCAGUGGGUUAGACGAUCCAGGGUUGCCAAAGCUGUGGCUCGGAUUCAAUCCCUGGCUCAGAAAGUUCCAUUUGCUGUAGCUAAGUGGAAUGGCUGGAUCACACACUAACUUCAUCUUUACUAUUUUGAGGAAUUAGCAACUACUGUCCAAAGCAGCCACACCAUUUCAUAUUCCCAACGGUAAUGUGUGAGAGGUCCAGUUUCUCCACAUCCUGCUACAUAAAAUGUACUUCUUUCACAGUAAAGCUGUCCUUAUUCACAAAAGAUGUGAUUGUUUGGGUGAAAAUACAGGAAUCUGCAAAAAAACUAUGAAAAUUAAGUAGUAGGGAGUUCCAGGAGUUCCCGUUGUGGUGCAGUGGUUAACGAAUCCAACUAGGAACCAUGGGGUUGUGGGUUCGAUCUCUGGCCUUGCUUGGUGGGUUUAGGAUCUGGCGUGGCCGUGAGCUGUGGUGUAAGUCACAGAUGCAGCUUGGAUCCCCCAUUGCUGUGGCUCUGGCGUGGGCCGGUGGCUACAGCUCCGAUUCGACCCCUAGCCUGGAAACCUCCAUAUGCCGCGAGGGAGUGGCCCUAGAAAAGGCAAGAAGACAGAAAAAAAAAAAAAAAAAAAAAAAGAAAAGAAAAGAAAAGAAAUAGGGAGUUGCUAUUGUGUGUGGCUCAGCGGAAACAAAUUCUCCUAGUAUCCCUGAGGAUGCGGGUUUGAUCCCUGGUCUCCAUCAGUGGGUCGGGGAUCUGGCAUUGCCAUGAGCUGUGGUGAAGGUCGAGGAUGAGGCUCGGAUCCCCCACAUUGCUGUGGCUGUGGCGUAGGCUGGUAGUUGUAGCUCUGAUUGGACUCCUAGCUGGGAACUUCCAUAUGCCCAAGGUGCAGCCCUAAAAAGCAGAAAAAAAAAAAAAAAGCAAAUUAAGAAAUUUGAUGCCAUUUGUAAUAGCAUUUAAAAAUGUAUACUAGAAAUGAAUCUAAGGAAAUAUAAGCAAGAACAUUAUAUAGAAAGCUAGUAAAAGUAUUGAGAUAAAUUAAUUUAUUAAAUUAUUUAAAAAGUAUAAGGCCACAGAUUAGAAGAUUGAAUUUAGUAAAGAUGUGAAUUGUCUUUCAAACUGAUUUAUAGAUUCAAUUCCUUCUCAAUCAAAACUGGAGUAAUUUUUUUGGUGUGAAUAGAUAUUAAAAACCUGAUUCUAAAUGUCUGAAAAGGGCCAAGGCAAAAAUGGCCACUAAUUUUGAAGAACACCAACAGAAUGGGAAAUAAUUUCCUCUACUGACAUCCAGACUUACAUCAAAGCUACAAUAAUUAAGAGAGCAUGAUGUUAUGGAGUUCCCGUUGUGGCUCAGUAGCUUAAGGACCCAACUUUGUCUCUGUGAGGAUGUGGGUUCAAUACUUGGCCUGACUCAGUGGGUUAAGGAUUCAGUGUUGCCAUGAGUUGCAGCAUGUGUUGCAGAUGUAGGUCAGAUCCAGUGUUGCUGUGGCUGUGGUGUAGGCCAUUAGCUGCAGCUCUGAUUCAGCCCCUGGCCCAGGAACUUCCAUCUGUUGUAGGUGUGGCUGUAAAAAGAAAAAAAAAAGUGAAUAUAAACAGACUGAUAAAAAAAAAAAGAAGAGUCCAGAAACAGAUCUACACAUAUGAGAGUGCCUGGUUCAUGAUAACAGUGGCAAUGUAGUAAACAAAGACCAAAGCAGCAGUGCAGAGCUGUGAGAGAAAGCUGAUGCUGGGUCAGCUGGGAUGCGUGGGCCGGGCAGGGGGGACCUGAUCCCUACCUCACUCCAUAUACAAAAAUCAAUUCCAGAAGGGUUGAGAUAACAAAUAUUAAGUGUAAAACAAUAAAACUUCAAAAGAUAACACAGGAGAAUGUCGUUCUGGUCUUGGGAUAGGAAAUGAUUUCUUAAACAGGCAAUAACACUGACCAUGCAGGAAAAAGAUAAAUUAGGCCAUCUUAGAUGUUCUGCUACUCAAAGACACUAUUAAGAGCUAAAACACAAGCUAUAAGUGGAAGAUCACUGCAACACAUAUAACUGAAAAGAGUUUAUCUUCAGAAUAGUCAAAGAACUAUAAAUCAUGAAGAAAAGGACAGACAAUCCAACAGGAACAUGGCCCUCAUAUGAACAUGCAGCUCAUAAAAGAGCAUUCCAUGGGAGUUCCCUGGUGGUCUAGUGGUUAGAAUUAAGCACUCUCACUGCGGUGGCCAGGGUUAAUUCCUGGUCUCAGAACUGAAAUCCACAUCCAGCCACAGCACACUGGGGCCAAAAAACCCAAACCAAACCAAAACAAAAAAAGGACAUACAAAUGGCAAACAAACAUAUGAAAAGGGGCUCAGUCUUCUCAUCGGGGAAAUUUAAGUUAAAACCAUGAUAAGAUACCAUAAAACAGCCCUCAGAAGAGCAAACAUUGUAAGAGAUGAUACCAAGUACUGUUGAGGAUGCAGAGUCUAUCCUUUUCUAUUGACGCUGUAACACAUCCCUAACACUUUAGUGGUUUAACCAACUCAAAGCUAUUAUCUCAGAGUUCAGUGGGUCUAACUGGGCUUAUUAAGGGGUCACAGGGAUGCACUGCUUUCUGGAGGAGAGUUCAUUUCCUUGCCUUUUUGGCUUUUAGAGACCCUCAUGCUCCUCGGCUCUUGGCUGCCUUUCAUCUUCAAGGCUGGCAAAGUUGCAUCUCUGACCAUCCCUCUUCCUUUCUCUUCCACAUUUAAGGACUUGUGAUGACAAGGGCCCAUACGGGUCAUCCAGGAUGAUCAGUAAUUUAAUCACAGCUGCAAAGUCCCUUUGCCACAUUAAGGUAACCUAUUCCCAGGUUCUAGGAAUAAGCACACAGACAUAUUUGGGGGCGGGGGGAUGUGGGAAUUAUUCUGCUUACCACGUAGAGCACCAUAACUUUUAUACAAUGCUCUUGGGACUAUAAAUUGGUACAACCACUUUAGAAAAUAUCUGGCAAUAUUUACUAAAACCAAACACAUGCAGAACCUACAUAAUCCAGCAAUUCCACUCCAAAAGAUGUCCACAUGGUUAUUUGUAACAAAGCCCCAAACUAGAAAAAACACAAGUGUCCAUCAACAUUUAGAAUGGGUAAAUAAAACUGGUAUAUUCAUGUUAUGGAAUAUGUAUAGCAAUGAAGACUGAACCACUGCUACAUGCUAUAAAAUCAACGCCUUGCAUGGACGUCCUGUUAAUUACAAGAAGCCAAAUGCUGCAGAAUACUUUCCAUGUGAUCCCACUUACUCAAAAUUUUUAAAUGGGCAAAACUAAUCUUUGGUGUUAGAGUCAGCUUACAGGCUACCUUUGUGGGAGUGCACGAUGAUUGUAAAAGGACUUGCGCUGGGCUUCUCAGUGUGGGUAAAAUUCUUCCGGAGUGGAGGCUGCCUGUAAAUGAACCCUCUGUAAUAAUUCUUCAGCCUAUGUCUUAUGAUUGGGGCAAUUUUUUCUGUAUGCAUGUUUUGCCUUAUAAGUUUAUUAAGCACUCAAACAAUGUGAAUAUACUGAAUACUACAGAAAUGUACAUUUAAAAAUGGUUAGGAUGGUAAAUUUAAUGCUAUGUCUUUUCCCGUCACAAUUUUAAAAAAUGUAUUAAGAAAAAAAAAUUGCCUCUUCCAGAAAAAUCUGGGUGACGAAAAUCUAACGCAGCACCUAAGGAUUUUAAACAGUAUGAAUUUUUCUCUGUAUCAUCUUUAGGAAGAAAUUAAUGAAGAGGAGGAAGAGAGGGAGAAGGGAGGGGAGAGGCAGGGAGGAGGAGAAGGAAGAGGAAAAGAAAAUGCUUACCCGACUUAAUUUGAUUAUUGAAUACUACUCUUUGUUUCUGAGGAAGAGUGUUCCCCAGGUAGGUUAGAGGCACCGAAUCCUUGGAUUCCUCCCUCCUCUUUGGAUCUUUGGCUCUCCUUCCAGCAGCCGCCCCUUAAGGAUGCUCGGGCCCUCCUACAGCACCCCCCCCAACACACACACCCGCCCCCGCGUCCCUGGGGUGAGUGUCCCCCAGCCUGAAACUGGAGGGAGAAGGAAGCGCAGUCGCCGCCAUCCAGAGGCCAGAGCUCCGCGUCCUGGGUCUGCGGAUGCGGAGCAGUCACCUCACCUCUUUCUGAUGCGGUUUCCAGGUCUGCGAAGUGGAAAUCGCGGUGGGGGGUGGGGGGAGUGCCUUUCUCGACGGCUGUUGCGAGGGUCAAAGGAGUUCAUACGUGUAGUGCGGUCACCAAGGCUGGCGCGUGGUGAGACGCACUAGGGAGUCGGUGGAGAACCGCCCGGAGACCCUCUACUCUGCACCCCUGUGCAUCCCAAUCAUCCCGCGUGUGGGGCGCAGCGUUGGUGCCUUGGCUGGAUUCUUAGCGGCCACUGCACCUGGGCAAGUGGAUGGGACAGCCCCCCACCUAACUGUGCUCCGGAGGGACCCGACGCCCCCUGCCCACACAGCGCCCUCUUCCAUCCUUCUGAGUUUGGGAAAUAACGCGCGUAUUAGGAACUUAACGCCGCCGACUCCAUCCUCGAGCUGUUUAACUUCCGCAGAUUUCGGCCUC
Molecule: long non-coding RNA, 4615 nt
Filed under: Sus scrofa (pig)
Lineage: Eukaryota; Metazoa; Chordata; Mammalia; Artiodactyla; Suidae
Description: lncRNA (ENSSSCG00055005718.1)
Source: RNAcentral